GGUUAUACUUUGCUGAAUAUACCGGUUCUCCUUCGAUCACCGAAGUCAAGAUCAAUGGGACGCAAAUAGUACUUGGUAAGGUGACCACCUUGGAACACCAUGCGU
This is a non-coding RNA of Caerostris darwini, 105 nucleotides long. The record is from the annotation of a GenBank genome assembly. NCBI's taxonomy places the organism in Eukaryota, Metazoa, Arthropoda, Arachnida, Araneae, Araneidae.